RNAcentral lists this long non-coding RNA (592 nucleotides) under Laticauda laticaudata (blue-ringed sea krait). RNAcentral's name for it is "lncRNA (ENSLLTG00000018194.1)". The record is from RNAcentral. Lineage: Eukaryota; Metazoa; Chordata; Lepidosauria; Squamata; Elapidae.
CUGAAAUCCUUCCUCCUGCCUUUAGCUCCUCAGCCUUCUGUCAGUUGUUUUUCUUUUCUGAGACAGAAUGGCACUAAACUACUGUUAACUCUCAUUUCUAAUGUUUUGCAAAAAGCUUUAUGGUUUAUAAUGAUCUGACAUUCUUCUCAAGCAGGAGGCUGGAAGUAAGCUUUGCUACAGGCCAUCAGGGGAUCUUAACAGCAUCUCAAACCCAGCUGGAAUCCAAAAUCCAAGCAGAAAGAUCCGUUGAAGAGCAGAAGUCCCAGAAACUUCCAGAAAUAACAGCCCAACGGCUGUGUCUGGAGCAAAAUGUCUCUGCCCAGUUCACAGAGCUCCAUCAGUGGCUUCAGGAGAAGGAAUCUGCGUUGAUCAGAGAGAUCCAGAGAGAGGAGAAGCUGCUGCUUAGUGAACUGGACAGGAACCAAAGAAACAGCCAAGAGCAGAUCCGCACAGCCAAUGAGCAAAUAGCUAAGAUCCAGGCUCGGCUUGCAAUGGCACCGGACUCUGAUAGCUUCCUUCAGGUCAGUGCAUUUCUCAAGCCAUAUCUGCAUUUGUCUGUCUAGGUGUAUAUGUGUCUUUCUCUUACAGGUAG